CUUCAUGUAUUUCUAGUCCCAAGGCUUUUUUGAAGUUGUAAUAACUUUCUAGGCACUAGGAUUAUUUUCUUAUCUGAAAACAGCUCCACUAUUGUUCUAAUCCAUAGCUUUUCCAGUAGAGGGGCAUGGGUUUGAAUAGCUAUUGUGCUAGGCUCAGUAAUAAUAAUUUAUAGGGAGUUUACAAAAGUACUGAAGUCUGUUCAAGAUAUAUUUGGUUUAUAGUUUCUCCAUCCUACCCUAUGUCCCAGUUCCAGUAGCAUGUUUUGGGGGUUUAUUAGAAAUUACACACAGUUUAUUAGAUGAAAAACAAGGGAUGAAUCUUUCCAGCCUUUCCUUUCCUUCUUCUCCUUUGAAUCUGUUAAGUCUCUUUUUGAAAAGGUUCAGUUUCCCCUGAAUGUUAAAGAGACCACUUUCCUCGUAUUUAAUCUAGUAAACUUCCUCUAUAUAGUCUACAGCUCCUCUAGACUGAGGGCUAAGAUGUCCAGAGUAUAAUAAAUAAAAAGGUCUUUGCUCAUCAAAACGAGCAUUGAAAGAGAUAAGAAUUUGAACUGAGUAGGGAAUCUCAAGAUGUGUGAGGUGAAAGAGAAAGGUGGGGAAACAGCAAGUAUUCUGCUUAAGAAUUGUGCAGAUGCAAGUAGCAUAGCAGACUGUGUAACUAAUUAUAUACAAGUUAACUUUUAGGCCAAGGACAAUCUGCAAGGAAGAUGAGGAGCCUUCAUUCCUAUGACCACCAAGGGCAGAAAAAAGACCCCCUAGCACCCAAUUGCACCGGCGCAGAGUGCAUCGACAGAAAAUACAUCAACUGGAAAAAAAAAGGGACUAUAAAAACAAAAAGGUCAAAGGGGGAAGGUGCGCCGUGGCAGAGCAGAGACUCCCCGGCCGCCCAGCGUUGUUCUUUUGCUUAAUACUGCUUGCUUAAUAAAUUCUUGUUAAUUGAUUUAUCUAUAAUUAGCCUCCACAAUUGAAUUUGUCCAUAACAAAUUUGGUGCCGUGACUUGGAUAAGGGCGACCGGGUGGGAAUUCCUAAUCAGGGAGGCGUCCUGCUGCCUCUGCAGCAGCCCUGGUGCAGGCUUUGCAUUCCCGGACCCUUACUGACGAACCUAAAUUUGGUAUUAAGCAAAAGGUAACCCCGUAAUCUUUGUGCAUGAAGCCCAGGCGAAGACACAGGACAGCAUGAGUCUAAAAGUGGGGAUCCGCUCGGUUGGGGUUGGGAUCCCAGGACAUAACGCAUGAGAUGUCCUUUUAGGACGAGGCAAGUGCGGACCUCUAAGUAGUGCAGUUUCCAGACCCCGAGAGGGGCUGGGCCACAAACAGGGGGCCGCGAGUGUGUGUGUGCGUGAAGGUGUCCUGGAAGAUGGGAGAGAGGAAAAGCAAGCCCUCUGCUUCCAUGGGGAGGGGGACCCCGCUGAAGCUUCCCCAGAUACCCCCUGACAGUCCGUUAGGUCUAAUGAUAAAAUCUUGGGAUGAAUAUCCUUCAAGAAAAGGGAAGGAUAAGGCAAAAAUGAUACAUUAUUGUAUAAAAGUAUGGGGAGGGAAACAAAUCCGUAGUGAUAAUUUAUUUUGGCCAGUGUUUGGAAGCUUUGAGGACUGGAUUUACCAGGCAUUAAACAUUUAUGUAAACUCUAAAGAACCUUUUGAUAUGGAAGAGAGCAAGUAUGCUGCUCUCUGGAUAGUGGGGGAAACAAGAGCAAAACUUUUUGCCUUAAGCACCCAGGGAGGGAAAAAGAAAAAUAAAAAGCCUGAGGAAGUUCCAACUGCACCCCCUCUACCAUACGUACCUCCCCCUCCUCCACCCCCACCAGCACCACCCGCAGUCUACCCCGAUUUGGAUCAAGGGGGAGAUUUUGAUAACUAAGAGAUAAAAAUCCCAGAGCCGGUCCCUGAGAAAAAUCACCACGUUACUCGUAGUCUAACAAGGGGGGAAAGAGAAAGGGAAGGGCAAGCUCUGUAUCUAUUAAGGGAAGUAGCUUUGGGAAUAAUCCCUAACCCCAGUGCUGGUCAGCAGGGACAACCAGCCGAAAUUCCGGGAAUAGGUUAUGUGGAGGUACCUCUUAACUCAGGAGAUGUGAGGGAGUUCAAGAAAGAAAUGGGAGCAUAUGGGCCAAAUCUUAAAGGAAUUUUCUGACCCUAUAGCCUGGGACUUCCCAUGUGAACAAAUUCAGAAUCCAGCUGAGGUGGCAGAGUACCUGAAAGAGAAAUGCCAUGGUAAGUCUAAGGAGAAAAAGAUCAUUGCAGCGUUCUGGGCCCUGGCAUAUGCUUAUCGCACCCUGCUAGAUACUGUAGGGCAGCAGACAGAGGAAGGGGGGCAGGGAGAUAAAUCAGCAGCUAUCCCAGUCACUCAGGCUGCAGCCAACAGCCCAAGCUCAAAGCCAGCAGCUAAACCAGACUGUGAGCCUAAGCUAGGAGCUAAACCAGACUGUAAGCCUCAAACAGUGGCUGUUGCUACGAGCACAAUGGGCCAGUGAUAUCUCAGGCCAUCAGGGCAGAGAUGGCACCUGUAAGUGGGCACAAGACCAAGGGGUGGAUCUAACCAUGGACAGUAUUUCUCAGGUGAUCCAUGACUGUGAAGCGUGUACUGUGAUCAAGGAGGCCAAGCGAGUGAAGCCCCUCUGGUAUGGUGGGCGGUGGUCCAAGUACAAGUAUGGGGAGGCCUGGCAGAUUGACUACAUCACACUGCCCCAGACACGCCAAGGCAAGCGCCAUGUGCUCACAAUGGUAAAAGCCACCACAGGAUGGCUGGAAAAAGUUCUUUAUAGAAAGGGUUGUCCAGCCCUGAAACAGAAUGCCCAAGGCAGUGGUGGCACCCCCAUCUUGGCGUGGGGAUUUAAAAGCCAUGUGGAUAUGGCACUUGGGGACAUGAGUUAGUGGUGGAAUUGGUUGGACUCAAUCUUUUCCAACCCAAAUAAUUCUAUGAUUUUACAUUUAGCAGAGAAUGUUUACUGUUAGACCUGGAAUCUCAGACAUUCCCACAGCAGUAAUCCAAAUGGAGAUGUGUAAUUAGUAGCAUGAGUUGUGGAGACUUCUGAGGCGGGGAAGAUGAUCUUUAGAAUCAUGGUAUUUGAAACUUUGGAGACUUAUGCUUGGAUAUUUCUUUGACUGCCAGCUCAUGGAAACAUUAUCUAUGGGAUCUGUCUCACCGUUUUAAGAGUAACAGUAUAAGAGGAAAAAAAAACAACAAAAACCGAAAGAAAGCAAGAAACCAGAACACUGCUAGAGAACUAAACCUGCUCUGUAUGAUUGCUUAACUUUGCUAACUUCUGGCAGCUUGAAUAUUUCCCUUAAUCAGAGAGAGCUGAUAGGAAUGGACAAGAAAAAACAGACCCUUCCAUAUCUGUGGGCAUGAACAUUGCUGUCCACAAAUAAGUGUUCAGGUUAAGACUACCCAGAGACAAGCAGCAUUGCAUAAGAAGCCGAACAAAUACCAAAAACAUUUCCUUGGUACUGGAAGCAAAAACGUCUUGAGAAGGAAAAUGUAAUAGCAUCCUACUAAUAGUAAUUUGCAUGUUAGUUAAUUUACUUGUACUAAAAAUUAUGCCAGUCACAUGCAGCCCUGCCUCCCUGGGAGGAUGGAGCACUGGAGGGAGUGGGGGUGUGGUAAUUAGCCAAGUUUUCCUUGGUAUCCAGACUGACCCCAUUGCUCCGUGUUCUCCUUCUGCUUCUAGGAUGGUGCACCGAUUCAGACAACUGGAUUCAAAGGUACUUCUGUCCCAGAUUGCUCUGGGGAAUGUGAUUCUCUCUGGUAAAGCAGGGGGUGUGCCAUGGCAAGGAAAAUGAGCCUCCCAGAGUCGUGUGCAGUCUGUGUCACUGUCACCAGGGCCCCAUUUUAAUUGAGCUUUUUUACCGUGCUCUUUUGAUUCCACAGAUAGGAGUGUGUAGGGCGUGUAGUGAUUAGGACAGAAGGGAAUGGUUUUGAACUGAGAGUAGGAUUAGAUGGGAUAAUGGGAAAAAAUUCUUGGCUGUGAGUUUGGGCCCACCCUGGCACAGGGUACCCAGAGAAGCUGUGGCUGCCCCUGGAUCCCUGGAAGUAUCAAAAGCCAGGCUGGAUGGGGUUGGAGCAGCCAACAAUGAGCUGUGAGGUCCCUUCCAAGCCACAAGAGCUUUAUAUGAUGCAGGAAAAUGAAACAAAGACACUUGCUUAGCACUGGAGGAGUGUUUCUCAAUAUUCCUUGUGGGAUGGAAUAAAACGAAGUAAUUUACAUCUUAAACUGCAACAUUCAGCUGUAUAACAGGUCCAUGAAAUGCCAGUGGGAAGAAGGGAUGUCACACACUUGACAUGUCCCCAUCGCAAAGGUGUCUGUCAAGUUUAGCUUCUGGUGGUGUUGGCCUGGUGUAAUUAAGCAAUAUAAGGCUACCCAUCUACCAGAGAGCACAUUAUGAGAAUUGCCAUGCAAAUAAUCUUUUUAUGACUGUGAUGUUGAAAUGGGUAUGUGUGUUCACAGUGGGUAUUUUCUGAGGCUUGACUGAAUUAUCUGUUUGGCCUCUGAAGUGAGAAGUGGCUUUGGUAUGAAGCAAAGACUUUUCCAGAAGCUCAGGUGAAAAGACCCACAUAUACUUCAGAGUACUUUUUUUUUUUGUUACUGUCAAAUAAUUUAGAUUGCAAAAUAAUAGCUUGCUUCCAGACUGAAAGGGAAGUGGUGAGUGAGUCUGUGGCUAGUGAUGCUUUUCUUGAAACUGAAAGGAGAUCUGCUAACCUUAAUUCUCUCCUGAAAAGAAAUACCCAUCUCUUGCUUCUCUCUUCUGGUAACUGCUGGUUAACUCUCUGAAAUAGAGGCAUCAGGACUCGCUGCAUUAAUUGCCCUGAUGAACACUGUACUUGGGACUGUCCUCUCAAGCACUCUUGCAUUUGGUGUAAUACUUGCAGAGGCAAUUACUUGUUACUUUCAUUGCUCAUUAGCAUUGCAUUCCUUCAGCUAGAUGGACUUUACAAAAAUAACCUCCUCCUUUUUUUUUUUUUUUUUUUUUUUUUUUAAGCUCUCUGAUUUGAAGGGCUUUCUGAAAGAGAUUUCCAGUAAAAUUAAAUGAGUGGAGCUGAAAUUCAAGAGCAGCUACUGGAGCAGGGUACCAAUUAAUGAAGAAUAAUUGCUCGGAGCUGGCAGCAACCCCCAAGCAGAUGGUAACAGAGGCACCAGAGUAUCAAUGUCUCAGCAGGAGUCAGCAGGAUUUUCUUGCAAUUUUUAUUUUUGUUGAUCAAACAGUCCUUUCUCCUUGUUGCAAGGUUGUGGUGAAACUGGAGAUGACUGCUUAUCUCCUGACAUGAUUCCUGCCCAAACUCUUCUCAUCUGCCCUAAGGUCCAGUGGCAGCAAUUAGUCCUUGUUAAGCUGCUGUUGCAAAUCACUCCUAUUUCCAAGAGUUCUGCUGCUGUUGCCAAAAUCCCUUUGCUUUUCCAUUUCACUUGGAGGGACCUGUGCGUGGCUUUCCUUCAAGCACUAAUUGCAUGUCUGAAUGAAUCAAUCUCCCUUCCUGUUCUGCCCUGUAGUAGCUGGAUCUUGCUUGUUCCUUGCACGGGCUGUCAGACCUGCUGGGGUCUGGAAUGCUGGUGUGCCAGAAUGCAGUGCAUUUCAGCAUCAUCCCCCCAAGGAAAGCCUUUGGUCCAACCCUGCAUCCCUAUUUCAGACUGUAAAGGAACAUUGUGGACUUGUUCCCCCUCUACCCGGAACCUUUCAGCAGUGCAGAAGCUCAGCUAUUACAGCCCUGCAUGGGAGAGACAUUAAUUCAUCUAGGAACUGUUUCUAAGGCUUUGUGGGCAAUCCUUCCUUGGUUUCAGUCAUGAAAAUUUGUAUUCUGGGAAUGUUGGAAUUCAUUUGACUUUUCCAAUGUGUUUGCUGAUCUUUGCAGCUGGAAAUGGAAAAGAGAUUGUUGGAACCUUUAAAUAGAGCAGUGCUUGAUAUGGUCAGGUGGUGCUUUCUGUCUAAAAUAGCAGCUGAAUUCUGUCACUUUUUUUUUUUUUUUUUUUUUGUAUAACUGAGAGCAUAGCCAACUGAAGGCACUACAAAUAGCAUUUAUUUACAUGGCAAAGCAUUGUAUCAACCUUCCUUCCCAGUGUCUUGGAAUCAUGGAAUCACAGACUCACCAGAGGAAAGGACCUGCAAGGAUCAUGGAGUCCAACCCCUGGCCCUGCACAGACACCCCAACAAUCCUAUCCUAUGCAUCCCUGAGAGCAUUGUUCAAAUGUUCCUUGGGCUCUGUCAGCCUGGGGCUUUGCCCAUUCCCUGGGGGAGUCUGGUCAGUGCCCCAGCACCAUCUGGGAGAAGAACCUUUUCCUAAAAUUCCACCUUACCCUGCCCUGACACAGCUCCAGCCGCUCCCUCAGGUGCUGUCCCUGUCACAGAGAGCAGAGAUUGGAGCUGUCCUUUGGGAGAGAGCUGCCAGCCAUGCUGAGACCUCCUCCUCUUCUCCAAGCUGAACAAGCCAAUUGACCUCAGCUGUUCCUCAUACAGCUUCCUCUCCUGGCCCCUCAUCAUCUUCAUUCCCCUCUUUGGAUACUCUCUGCAGGCCUUAUAUCCUUAUGAUACAUUCAGAGAGGUUGCUGCUCUUUUCUCCCUGCAUUUCAUCACCCAACUGUACUGUAUGCUGUGCAUGACAUCAUCCUGGGGUCUCCAGCACUAACAAUAGCAGUGGUAUCUGUUUUCAUGUGGAAAUAUUUCCUGCUGAAAAGUAAAGGAGCCAGGCUUUCACUGAUUCACAUGGCAGUUAGCUGCAUCAUAAAUUCUUGAGAUAAGGUUCCUUUCUGGAAAUUAUUUUUCCCAUAUCAUUUGUCUGCCUUGGAUGUGAAAAUUGUGCUUUUUGUUCACUCCCUUCCUAUAUAAAACCUGUGGAAUGCUUUCAACCCUUCCGGGAAAUCCCAAGGGCCUUGCCUUGGAAGAAUAUACAAUAGUCUCCACCUAGGCUUAAAGAGAAGACUUCUGCCAUGGAGCCUUGCAACACCAGGAUCCACCCCCGUUCCUUUCCCCGUGUCCCAAAUUCUUGCAGUUUUUCCUUUCCCUGUUUCCUCAUUGGUCCUUGGUCGUGGUAUCCCUGGUGGCUGGCCCCGUCUUCCCUGUAGGCCAAUGCCCUUUGCCCUGCCCUUUGUGCUGCCCCCGUGCCCUCAGACCAUUGGCCACUGACCCCUGCUUAACCUUGUGCAGAGCACAUGGCCAGGUCUUUGUCCCUGAUCCCUUCAGCCUGGUGGAUGCAAUAAACCUUUGCUGGAAUACAUCAUAAA
This is a non-coding RNA of Taeniopygia guttata (zebra finch), 7202 nucleotides long. The record is from RefSeq and is a predicted model, not a curated record. Lineage: Eukaryota; Metazoa; Chordata; Aves; Passeriformes; Estrildidae.